Molecule: ribosomal RNA, 364 nt
Filed under: uncultured eukaryote
Lineage: Eukaryota
Description: bacterial SSU rRNA
Rfam family: Eukaryotic small subunit ribosomal RNA
Source: RNAcentral
CAAUAGCGUAUAUUAAAGUUGUUGCAGUUAAAAGCUCGUAGUUGGAUUUCUGGCCGAGUGUCCCUAGGCCAGCAUGACGUUUGGUCCUAGGCGCUCUGCCAUCCUUCUGUCAACCUUCGCCUUCUUCAUUGGGGCGCUGGGGCUCAGAUAUUUACCUUGAGAAAAUUAGAGUGUUUCAGGCAGGCUUUCGCCGGAAUACAUUAGCAUAGGAAUAAUGGAAAGGACUUCAACCUCUUCUGUUGGUCUGAGAGGCGUGUAGUAAGUGAUUAAUAGGGAUAGUUGGGGGCGAUUAGUACUUAACUAGUCAGAGGUGAAAUUACUCCGAUUUGUUAAAGACUAACUUAUGCGAAAGCAUUUGCCAAGG